UCCUUAGAUGUUCUGGGCCGCACGCGCGCUACAAUGAUGAAUUCAACGAGUUUAUAACCUUGGUUGAAAAGCCUGGGUAAUCUUUUGAACUUUCGUCGUGAUGGGGCUAGACCCUUGCAAUUAUUGGUCUCCAACGAGGAAUUCCUAGUAAACGCAAGUCAUCAGCUUGCAUUGAUUACGUCCCUGCCCUUUGUACACACCGCCCGUCGCACCUACCGAUUGAAUGGUCCGGUGAAAUCUUCGGAUUGAGACUUUGUUUUCUUCACGGAAAACGCUGUUUUAAAAAGUUGAUUAAACCUUACCAUUUAGAGGAAGGUGAAGUCGUAACA
RNAcentral lists this ribosomal RNA (329 nucleotides) under uncultured eukaryote. RNAcentral's name for it is "partial 18S ribosomal RNA". It matches the Rfam family "Eukaryotic small subunit ribosomal RNA", at positions 1470 to 1796 of the family's 1831-position model. The record is from RNAcentral.